RNAcentral lists this ribosomal RNA (282 nucleotides) under uncultured Staphylococcus sp. RNAcentral's name for it is "partial 16S ribosomal RNA". It matches the Rfam family "Bacterial small subunit ribosomal RNA", at positions 81 to 354 of the family's 1533-position model. The record is from RNAcentral. Lineage: Bacteria; Bacillati; Bacillota; Bacilli; Caryophanales; Staphylococcaceae.
CUCCUUUGACGUUAGCGGCGGACGGGUGAGUAACACGUGGGUAACCUACCUAUAAGACUGGGAUAACUUCGGGAAACCGGAGCUAAUACCGGAUAAUAUUUCGAACCGCAUGGUUCGAUAGUGAAAGGUGGUUUUGCUAUCACUUAUAGAUGGACCCGCGCCGUAUUAGCUAGUUGGUAAGGUAACGGCUUACCAAAGGCGACGAUACGUAGCCGACCUGAGAGGGUGAUCGGCCACACUGGAACUGAGACACGGUCCAGACUCCUACGGGAGGCAGCAGGC